This 459-nucleotide ribosomal RNA is filed under the name uncultured bacterium. Its description in RNAcentral is "partial 16S ribosomal RNA". It matches the Rfam family "Bacterial small subunit ribosomal RNA", at positions 338 to 795 of the family's 1533-position model. The record is from RNAcentral.
CCUACGGGGGGCAGCAGUGAGGAAUAUUGGUCAAUGGCCGGAAGGCUGAACCAGCCGAGCCGCGUGAAGGACGAAGGUGCCAAGCAUUGUAAACUUCUUUUGUCAAGGGACAAAAUCAGGCUCGAGAGCCUGACCGAGGGUACUUGAAGAAAAAGCAUCGGCUAACUCCGUGCCAGCAGCCGCGGUAAUACGGAGGAUGCGAGCGUUAUCCGGAUUUAUUGGGUUUAAAGGGUGCGUAGGCGGACUGUUAAGUCAGCGGUAAAAGCCCGGGGCUCAACCCCGGCGAGCCGUUGAAACUGGCUGUCGUGAGAUGUCGAGAGCUAUGCGGAAUGCGCAGUGUAGCGGUGAAAUGCUUAGAUAUUGCGCAGAACUCCGAUUGCGAAGGCAGCAUACCGGCGGCGAUCUGACGCUGAGGCACGAAAGCGUGGGUAUCGAACAGGAUUAGAUACCCGAGUAGUC